Molecule: ribosomal RNA, 496 nt
Filed under: uncultured bacterium
Lineage: Bacteria
Description: bacterial SSU rRNA
Rfam family: Bacterial small subunit ribosomal RNA
Source: RNAcentral
GACGAACGCUGGCGGCGUGCUUAACACAUGCAAGUCUACGAGAAAGAGGUAGCAAUAUCUUGAGUAAAGUGGCGCACGGGUGAGUAACACGUAAGUAAUCUACCCUUGGGUUUGGAAUAACCCCGAGAAAUCGGGGCUAAUACCGAAUAAUGCAGCGGCAUCGCAUGGUGGUGUUGUUAAAGUUGCAGCAAUGUAACGCCUAAGGAUGAGCUUGCGGCUGAUUAGCUAGUUGGUAGAGUAAUAGCCUACCAAGGCAACGAUCAGUAGCUGGUCUGAGAGGAUGAUCAGCCACACUGGAACUGAGACACGGUCCAGACUCCUACGGGAGGCAGCAGUGAGGAAUAUUGGGCAAUGGACGAAAGUCUGACCCAGCAACGCCGCGUGGAGGAUGAAGGUCGUAAGAUUGUAAACUCCUGUGAGGAGGGACGAAAGAUUAAGUUUCGUAAGGGACUUAAGUUGACUGUACCUUCAGAGGAAGCCCGGCUAACUACGUGCC